Long non-coding RNA from Macadamia integrifolia, 1518 nucleotides. RefSeq lists it as uncharacterized. The transcript has 2 exons. NCBI's taxonomy places the organism in Eukaryota, Viridiplantae, Streptophyta, Magnoliopsida, Proteales, Proteaceae. The record is from RefSeq and is a predicted model, not a curated record.
UUAUUUUUCUUCUCCAAACAAAUCAGCCGCACCUUUCUUCUCUUUCAUCUUCUUCUUCUUCUUCUUCUUCUUCUCAUCUUCUUUUUCUUUCCUUCCUCCAAAACUUGCGGCGACCGAACCCUGCAACUCACGUCUUCUUCUUCUUUUCUUUUUCCCUGCUGCUACAGUUCCCUUAUUCUUCCUCUUCUAUUCCUCCUAACCGAACUCAACCCCUCCCCAUCCCUAUUCUUCUUUUUCUUUUCCUCUUCUCCUUCCCUUCUUCAUGGCUACCACCACCACCACACCACCUACUGACUCCGAGGUUACCUAUUUCAGUUUUCAACUGCCGAGAGGGGAAUCUUCUACUCUAUUGUUUCUCAAAGCCUGAAAACCUCAAAUCGGAGCUUCUUUGCCCUUUCAAUGGCGGAUUGGCGUUCAAAUGGUUACCGUCAAUGACCAGAUUGGCAAGACAUCGGAGUUUUGUCUGUCGUUAUCACUUCCUGGGAACUCAAAUCUCCCACCUUCAUGGCCACCACUGCUGCUUCUCUUCCAAUUUAUGCUUUCAAGAUCAGAGACGAUCCAGACGACAAAGAGGAUUUCGCGGACAGCAAAUGUGCCUUCGUAAUGCUCAAGCGGUGAAGUCACAUUUCGUUGGCGACACUUCUCUCUGCUGCCUCCUCACUCUAGUCUGCAACAAAUAAUGCCAGUUUGAAUCAUUCCGGGGCUUCAAAUGGGAAAAUAGAAAUAGUUGAAGAAAUGGAACAAACUUGGUUUGAUGAUGAUGAAAGCAACAAUGAGAGUGGUGAAAGUGUUUGCAAGGUGAUUGAAGGUCUAUUCGCAUCAGAUCAAAACAUUGAAGCGGUUCUUGAUCAAAGUGGGAUCGAUCUCUCUCGUGAUCUCGUUCUUCAUCUGUUGGCUCAGUUCCGAAAUGCCUGGAGGCCUACAUUUUGGUUCUUCUGCUGGGCUGGGCGACAACCAGGAUUCUUACAUUAUUCUAGGACACAUGAUUCUAUGAUGGGAAUUAUCCAGAAGACAAGGCAAAUUCAAGAGCAUGUUGGUGAUGCUUGAAGAAAUGAAGAAUAAAGGGCUUCCGACAAUUGAGACUCUCCAUUUCUUUACAGGCUUUUGCUGCUGCACGAGAGGCGAAGAAGGAUGAGAAGGCACCACUUCAGAGCAGGGGGCUGGUACCUUUAAUUGCUUGCUUGAUGCUCCUGGAAGGGCAAAGCAUGUGAAAGAAGCUCAAGGUCUCUUUAAGAAGUUGAAAAAAUCGAUCUCCACCAGGCUUACAGACCAAUGCAGUUCUCCUCCUCUUCUGGUCUUCCCUGCCCUUCCUUGCUGCAACCGAAACCCAUCUUCUUCUCCUUCAUUCUCUCCUCUUCUAUGCUCCAAUCUCCUUCCCUUGGCCAAAAUCCAUCUCCAGCCCAUCGUCUUCUCUUCUUCUUUUUUUUUUUUUUGUUAUUUUGUUAUUUCUUUAAUUUUCUAAUUAAAUACUCCAUAUUUGUAAUACCCACAACCUGUUAUUUCAUUUAUGUUUUUCUA